Small nuclear RNA from Nycticebus coucang (slow loris), 102 nucleotides. Lineage: Eukaryota; Metazoa; Chordata; Mammalia; Primates; Lorisidae. The record is from RefSeq and is a predicted model, not a curated record.
GCUCACUUCAGCUGCACGUAUAUUAAAAUCAAAACAAUACAGAGAUUACCACAUCUUCUUCACAAGAAUGACAUGCAAAUUUAUGAAGCAUUCGAUAUUUAA